This 494-nucleotide ribosomal RNA is filed under the name uncultured bacterium. RNAcentral describes it as "partial 16S ribosomal RNA". It matches the Rfam family "Bacterial small subunit ribosomal RNA", at positions 28 to 507 of the family's 1533-position model. The record is from RNAcentral.
GACGAACGCUGGCGGCGUGCCUAAUACAUGCAAGUCGAACGCUGAAGGAGGAGCUUGCUUCUCUGGACGAGUUGCGAACGGGUGAGUAACGCGUAGGUAACCUGCCUGGUAGCGGGGGAUAACUAUUGGAAACGAUAGCUAAUACCGCAUAAGAGUAGAUGUUGCAUGACAUUUGCUUAAAAGGUGCAAUUGCAUCACUACUAGAUGGACCUGCGUGGUAUUAGCUAGUUGGUGGGGUAACGGCUCACAAAGGCAACGAUCCAUAGCCGACCGGAGAGGUGGACGGGCCACCCGGGACCUGGGCCACGGCCCAGACUCCUCCGGGGGGAAGCGUAGGGGAACCUCGGCCAAGGGCGGAAAUCUUACCGGAGAACGGCGGGUUGGGGAAGGAAGUUUUUCGGUCGUAAAACUCCUUUGAAUGGGAAGAAAGAGUGUGAGAGUGGAAUGUUCACACUGUGACGGUACCUUACCAGAAAGCGACGGCUAACUACGUG